UACGAAGGGGGCUAGCGUUGCUCGGAAUCACUGGGCGUAAAGGGCGCGUAGGCGGCGUUUUAAGUCGGGGGUGAAAGCCUGUGGCUCAACCACAGAAUGGCCUUCGAUACUGGGACGCUUGAGUAUGGUAGAGGUUGGUGGAACUGCGAGUGUAGAGGUGAAAUUCGUAGAUAUUCACAAGAACACCGGUGGCGAAGGCGGCCAACUGGACCAUUACUGACGCUGAGGCGCGAAAGCGUGGGGAGCAAACAGG
This 253-nucleotide ribosomal RNA is filed under the name uncultured bacterium. Its description in RNAcentral is "partial 16S ribosomal RNA". It matches the Rfam family "Bacterial small subunit ribosomal RNA", at positions 524 to 776 of the family's 1533-position model. The record is from RNAcentral.